UACGUAGGGGGCAAGCGUUGCCCGGAUUUAUUGGGCGUAAAGAGCGUGUAGGCGGCCUGAAAGGUCAGCUGUGAAAACUCGAGGCUCAACCUCGAGACGUCGGUUGAAACCAUCUGGCUAGAGUCCGGAAGAGGAGAGUGGAAUUCCCGGUGUAGCGGUGAAAUGCGCAGAUAUCGGGAAGAACACCCGUGGCGAAGGCGGCUCUCUGGGACGGUACUGACGCUGAGACGCGAAAGCGUGGGGAGCGAACAGG
Molecule: ribosomal RNA, 253 nt
Filed under: uncultured bacterium
Lineage: Bacteria
Description: partial 16S ribosomal RNA
Rfam family: Bacterial small subunit ribosomal RNA
Source: RNAcentral